UAGGGAAUCUUCCGCAAUGGGCGAAAGCCUGACGGAGCAACGCCGCGUGAGUGAUGAAGGUCUUCGGAUCGUAAAACUCUGUUAUUAGGGAAGAACAAAUGUGUAAGUAACUAUGCACGUCUUGACGGUACCUAAUCAGAAAGCCACGGCUAACUACGUGCCAGCAGCCGCGGUAAUACGUAGGUGGCAAGCGUUAUCCGGAAUUAUUGGGCGUAAAGCGCGCGUCGGCGGUUUUUUAAGUCUGAUGUGAAAGCCCACGGCUCAAACGUGGAGGGUCAUUGGAAACUGGAAAACUUGAGUGCAGAAGAGGAAAGUGGAAUUCCAUGUGUAGCGGUGAAAUGCGCAGAGAUAUGGAGGAACACCAGUGGCGAAGGCGACUUUCUGGCCUGUAACUGACGCUGAUGUGCGAAAGCGUGGGGAUCAAACAGG
RNAcentral lists this ribosomal RNA (429 nucleotides) under Actinomycetes bacterium. RNAcentral's name for it is "Actinobacteria bacterium partial 16S ribosomal RNA". It matches the Rfam family "Bacterial small subunit ribosomal RNA", at positions 355 to 776 of the family's 1533-position model. The record is from RNAcentral. Lineage: Bacteria; Bacillati; Actinomycetota; Actinomycetes.